UGACUCUAGUCCGACUUUGUGAAAUGACUUAGGAGGUGUAGCAUAAGUGGGAGCUCCGGUGAUCUUGAAAUACCACUACUCUUAAUGUCAUUUUACUUAUUCCGUGAGACUGAAACUUGCAUCAUGUGAGUUUUUGAUUUAAUGUGACCUCCUUUGGCAGCUGAUCUGUGCGGAAGACAUAGUCAGGUGGGGAGUUUGGCUGGGG
Molecule: ribosomal RNA, 205 nt
Filed under: Ostreococcus sp. 'lucimarinus'
Lineage: Eukaryota; Viridiplantae; Chlorophyta; Mamiellophyceae; Mamiellales; Bathycoccaceae
Description: partial Eukaryotic large subunit ribosomal RNA
Rfam family: Eukaryotic large subunit ribosomal RNA
Source: RNAcentral